GACCAAUUGGCCUAGUGGUUAUGGCGUCUGUCUUACAUAAGCAACAUAAAUGUGAACACAGAAGGUCGCAGGUUCGAUCCCUGCAUUGGUCA
Aspergillus niger is the source of this 92-nucleotide non-coding RNA. NCBI's taxonomy places the organism in Eukaryota, Fungi, Ascomycota, Eurotiomycetes, Eurotiales, Aspergillaceae. The record is from Rfam.